RNAcentral lists this transfer RNA (73 nucleotides) under Phytophthora infestans T30-4. It matches the Rfam family "tRNA". Rfam says of the family: Transfer RNA (tRNA) molecules are approximately 80 nucleotides in length. Lineage: Eukaryota; Oomycota; Peronosporomycetes; Peronosporales; Peronosporaceae. The record is from Rfam by way of RNAcentral.
GGGCGCUUAGCUCAAAUGGUAGAGCGCCCGCUUCGCAUGCGAGAGGUUGGGGAAUCGAUACCCCCAGUGUCCA